ACUAAACAAAAGUUACAAAGUGAACUUGCAGUGCUUCCCUUAAGGGAGAUGUAGUUACAAUUCCAGUGCACUGGCCCACUCUCUCUCUCUCUCUCUCUUGGUGGUGUGAGACUUUCUACAACCGAAUGUCUAAAUACCAUGAAUGUCCCAUCACUGAACCAGGAGCAAUUAUCAAGAGGACUCUAAGGGAAGCCUCCUUCCAGUGAAUAUUCGGAAUGAUGUUUUUAUUUAUUAGGUUGAAGCAGUUGGUGUGCUUUAGAAAAUGAUCAUAGAACAUUGGGUCGGGCAGCUCUGUAGAAAAACAUGGAAGCAGCUGAAGGUGUUCCUCCCUUUGUUUGUAUGCUUCUGGAAGCCAUCAGAGGCCAUCCAUCAAACAACCUGGCCUGUCUUUUGUGCUGUCACACAGGGCUGGAGCAUAUGGGAAGAAUUAAUGUGGCAGAUGAGAGGAAAAUAAGUACUGGUAUACAAAGACAAAAGGAGUUCCAUCCUGUUUAUUCCAUUAAGUCUUAGCAUUUAUUUUUUUUAGACAUAUGCCAUA
RNAcentral lists this long non-coding RNA (538 nucleotides) under Mus caroli (Ryukyu mouse). Its description in RNAcentral is "lncRNA (MGP_CAROLIEiJ_G0003381.1)". The record is from RNAcentral. Lineage: Eukaryota; Metazoa; Chordata; Mammalia; Rodentia; Muridae.